This is a non-coding RNA of Triticum aestivum (bread wheat), 130 nucleotides long. The record is from Rfam. Lineage: Eukaryota; Viridiplantae; Streptophyta; Magnoliopsida; Poales; Poaceae.
UUAAUACUCCCUCCGUCGAGAAAUACUUGUCCUAGAAAUGGAUGUAUCUAGACUUAUUUUAGUUAUAGAUACAUCCAAUUUAUCCACUCUUAGAACAAAUAUUUCCCACCAGCCGGAGAGGGAGUACCUA